UGUCCGGGCAGAAGUUCCCUGCCACACA
This 28-nucleotide small RNA is filed under the name Bombyx mori (domestic silkworm). Its description in RNAcentral is "ovarian small RNA-9008". Lineage: Eukaryota; Metazoa; Arthropoda; Insecta; Lepidoptera; Bombycidae. The record is from RNAcentral.